RNAcentral lists this ribosomal RNA (429 nucleotides) under Acidobacteriota bacterium. RNAcentral's name for it is "Acidobacteria bacterium partial 16S ribosomal RNA". It matches the Rfam family "Bacterial small subunit ribosomal RNA", at positions 355 to 776 of the family's 1533-position model. The record is from RNAcentral. Lineage: Bacteria; Pseudomonadati; Acidobacteriota.
UGGGGAAUUUUGGACAAUGGGGGAAACCCUGAUCCAGCCAUCCCGCGUGUGCGAUGAAGGCCUUCGGGUUGUAAAGCACUUUUGGCAGGAAAGAAACGUCAUGGGUUAAUACCCCGUGAAACUGACGGUACCUUCAGAAUAAGCACCGGCUAACUACGUGCCAGCAGCCGCGGUAAUACGUAGGGUGCAAGCGUUAAUCGGAAUUACUGGGCGUAAAGCGUGCGCAGGCGGUUCGGAAAGAAAGAUGUGAAAUCCCAGAGCUCAACUUUGGAACUGCAUUUUUAACUACCGGGCUAGAGGGUGUCAGAGGUAGGUGGAAUUCCGCGUGUAGCAGUGAAAUGCGUAGAUAUGCGGAGGAACACCGAUGGCGAAGGCAGCCUCCUGGGAUAACACUGACGCUCAUGCACGAAAGCGUGGGGAGCAAACAGG